Molecule: long non-coding RNA, 226 nt
Filed under: Setaria italica (foxtail millet)
Lineage: Eukaryota; Viridiplantae; Streptophyta; Magnoliopsida; Poales; Poaceae
Description: long non-coding RNA (SITA_LNC005961)
Source: RNAcentral
UGGGCAGCAUUCUUUAUUUAGGUGUAGUCUGUUUCUAUGAUUUCUGUGCGCAAGGUUUGGCAGGAUGAUUCCAACAUCAAGUUUCUAAGCAGAUGAGAGAUAUGAUAGUUUAUUGGUGCUGCAUAAACACAACACAAUGUUGAAAAAUGGACGAAGAAGAAGAUUGAAGCUUAGUCUUUUAAUUGUGUUUUUUUGUCCUAGAGUUUUCUUUCUUGUGUUUUUGAGC